RNAcentral lists this ribosomal RNA (484 nucleotides) under Erenna insidiator. Its description in RNAcentral is "partial 16S ribosomal RNA". It matches the Rfam family "Bacterial large subunit ribosomal RNA", at positions 1884 to 2523 of the family's 2925-position model. The record is from RNAcentral. Lineage: Eukaryota; Metazoa; Cnidaria; Hydrozoa; Siphonophorae; Erennidae.
UUUAAAAUAAAUAUAUUAAAUUAUAAAAAUAAAAUUAAACGGAUGCAGUAUUCUGACUGUAAUAAUGUAGCAUAAUCAUUUGCCAUUUAAUUAAUGGAUAGUAUGAAUGGUUAAACGAAUAUUUCACUGUCUUAAAAAAAAAACUUAUUAAAUUGAAAUAAUAGUUAAGAUGCUAUUUAAAAUUGUAAGACGAAAAGACCCUAUAGAGCUUAACUAAAAUCUUUUUUAAAAUUUUAAAAUUAAUAAAUUUUUUUAUAAAAAGAUAGUUAGUUUAGUUGGGGCGACUACCUUUUAUUAUAAACAAAGGUAAACAAAAAUUAAUAUAAUAAUUUAUUGUAUAAUAUAUAAAUUUAACAAUUAUAAAAAUAGGUUAUAUUGACCCGUUAUUAAUAAAUAAUAAUAAUAACGAUUAAUAAAUAAAAGCUACCUUAGGGAUAACAGAAUAAUUUUAAUCUAGAGAUCAUAUCGAAAUUAAAGUUUGUCA